UGAGCAAUCUGCCCUGGACUCUGGGAUAAGCGUUGGAAACGACGUCUAAUACCGGAUACGAGACGUGAAGGCAUCUUCAGCGUCUGGAAAGAACUUCGGUCCAGGAUGAGCUCGCGGCCUAUCAGGUAGUUGGUGAGGCAACGGCCCACAGCCUACGGACGGGUAGCCGGCCUGAGAGGGUGACCGGCCACACUGGGACUGAGAUACGGCCCAGACUCCUACAGGGAGCAG
Molecule: ribosomal RNA, 231 nt
Filed under: uncultured bacterium
Lineage: Bacteria
Description: partial 16S ribosomal RNA
Rfam family: Bacterial small subunit ribosomal RNA
Source: RNAcentral